CCAUUUGUCUAAUCACUAUGAUGAUGGUGAUGAUGAUGAUGAUGAUGGGUUCAAGGUGAAUUCUCAAGAACCCUUGGGAGAAAUGGAACACUAUAAAGGAGAGACUGAAGAAAAUAUUAUUGUUGACCAUAAUAAGGAUGAUGAUGAUGAUGUGAAGAAAGAUGGUGUUUAUGUUGAUGAUGAUGAUGAUGUGAGAUUUGUUUUGGAUCAAGAUUUGGAAGAGGAAGGUUGGUGUUUAGUUGGGGAAGAUUGAUGAUCAAUUUCUCUUUCUUUUAUUAAUUAUGUUUGGGUAUAUUUGGUUGAAUUCGGAUUGUGGGUUGGGUCAUAAUUUAAUACUAAAUGUGUGUUUCUUCUCAAACCAUUUGAGUUGUAUUUCCAAUCUAAAUAUAUUACUUAUUUAAUCUUAUCCCUCUGGAAUAUUGAUUCUAAUCAACUUUCAACUUUUCACAUAACAAUAUAUCAAAAAUUAUUAUACCAACUUCAUCCCUAUAUGCUCUUCUUUUUCCCUAAAAU
This 513-nucleotide long non-coding RNA is filed under the name Gossypium barbadense (sea-island cotton). Its description in RNAcentral is "long non-coding RNA (GBAR_LNC019066)". Lineage: Eukaryota; Viridiplantae; Streptophyta; Magnoliopsida; Malvales; Malvaceae. The record is from RNAcentral.